Molecule: ribosomal RNA, 377 nt
Filed under: uncultured eukaryote
Lineage: Eukaryota
Description: partial 18S ribosomal RNA
Rfam family: Eukaryotic small subunit ribosomal RNA
Source: RNAcentral
CAAUAGCGUAUAUUAAAGUUGUUGCAGUUAAAAAGCUCGUAGUUGGAUUUCGGGGCAGCCUGGCUGGUCCGCCGCAAGGCGAGUACUGGUCAGCCGCCCUUCCUCUCGAAAGCCCCGACUGCUCUUCGUUGCAGUGGUCGGGUAGUUCGGGACGUUUACUUUGAAAAAAUUAGAGUGUUCAAGGCAGGCCUACGCCUGAAUACAUUAGCAUGGAAUAAUGGAAGAGGACCUCGGUCCUAUUUUGUUGGUUUCCAGGGCCGAAGUAAUGAUUAAGAGGGACAGUUGGGGGCAUUCGUAUUUAAUUGUCAGAGGUGAAAUUCUCGGAUUUAUGGAAGACGAACAACUGCGAAAGCAUUUGCCAAGGAUGUUUUCAUUAA